CUGGUGGUAGCUUAAUGAAAAGUUUAGGAUUCUUACUCCUACGUUGUAUAUGUUAUUUACUCAUCAGG
This 68-nucleotide transfer RNA is filed under the name Notocotylus intestinalis. Its description in RNAcentral is "tRNA-Lys". Lineage: Eukaryota; Metazoa; Platyhelminthes; Trematoda; Plagiorchiida; Notocotylidae. The record is from RNAcentral.